This is a non-coding RNA of Amphimedon queenslandica, 45 nucleotides long. The record is from Rfam. Lineage: Eukaryota; Metazoa; Porifera; Demospongiae; Haplosclerida; Niphatidae.
UCACCGGUUCUUUUAAGAACUAUCAGGUUUAAAAAUCAUUAAUUU